GGCUGGUCUGAUGGUAGUGGGUUAUCAGAACUUAUUAACAUUAUUGUCACUAAAGUUGGUAUACAACCCCCCACUGACUGCUGUAUUUGGCUAUAAA
This 97-nucleotide Y RNA is filed under the name Prolemur simus (greater bamboo lemur). RNAcentral describes it as "Y RNA (ENSPSMG00000010984.1)". It matches the Rfam family "Y RNA". Rfam says of the family: Y RNAs are components of the Ro ribonucleoprotein particle (Ro RNP), in association with Ro60 and La proteins. Lineage: Eukaryota; Metazoa; Chordata; Mammalia; Primates; Lemuridae. The record is from RNAcentral.